UUUCGCUACACUCGCAUUAACAUUGCUAACCAUGUGUAUGUGACAAAUAAUAUUUGAUUUAUAUACAACACUCAAAGUAGUGGAUAUGGAGCAUCUACAGCCUCAGUUACACCUGACACCUAAAUGUGACUCCUGUCAUCUGAUCACUCCAAACUGCAUUGGGUUCAGAUCUACCAGGACGGACCUUUGACAGUCUGGAUGCAGUCAGGCCACUGAAUAUAAAUAAGCAAACUGGAGAUUCCUUCAAAACGGUUGCCUACAGUUACCGUGUAGGGCACUGCAAGGUUGGGUGACCAGGGUCAUCUGGGACUGCCUCCUGGAGGAAUUCAGGUGUGUGAAGGCUACCUGUGUUCUGCUUAACUUCAUGAUGGACACGAGGACCAGGAGGGGAUCUGCAGCUCGCCGCUGUGUCCCAGAGGAGGAGUCUGCUGUUCUGCAGGAUGUUUCAAGGAUUGGGUCCAACAAUGCAGCAAGAGAGGCAAUCCGUGUGCAGGAGAUCUUCACCUCCUACUUCUUCAAAGAGGGUGCUGUUCCCUGGCAACACCAUAGACUACACUAUGCACAACCAAAGGCUCUUAAGAGCCAUUCACAUUGCAAUAAGAGUAUUCUUCCAUUUACUUAGCUAUGUUAACUGCAGUUAUUCCAUUCCCAGUUUCUCUCCCUUUGAUUUCUACUUCUCAGGUGAGGGUGCUGUUUAGGUAAGGGUGUGAUGUCUGUGCAAAAAACAAAACAGGCUAUUUUAAAUCACCCAUUUUGAAAAAAAUGUAGAACAAUUAGACACCCGAUAACCCACAACUACCCACUCAUGUAUCGAUCUGAUUGUUGGAUUGUGUUGUGCAGUAAGCAGGUUCAGGUGUAUAACUGUGGCUCCUUCCACCUUCAAAGAAUAGGCAAGAGGGCCAACCAUGGAGAAUAGUUAUAUCAGCUGUGUCGGUGAACCCCUCCUGCAUCUGAACUGGCUACAUAGAGGACACAGCAUGAUCAGAGGUAUGUUUUGAUGUGAAAGGAUGCCAACCCCCAGUCCCAUCAUCGCCACCUCACCUGCUUUUAAGAUAACAGUGUCUCUAGUCGGCCCAAUGGUUAUGUAAUUGUGAUGAACUGAGAGAACUUUUAUGUAGCACUGUGAUUCAUUAAUCAUGUGCUGCCUUCCCUGCUCCUAUGUGUUUACCUCUUUCCCUUUCUGUCUUUAACACCUCUCUCCUCCUCUUUCCCUUUCUGUCUUUAACACCUCUCUCUCCUCCUCCUCUUUCCCUUUCUGUCUUUAACACCUCUCUCUCCUCCUCCUCUUUCCCUUUCUGUCUUUAACACCUCUCUCUCCACCUCUCUCUUCCUCUGUUUUUAUAAUUCACAACAGAUGUGCAUUGAUGGACAGAUUGAACUUGUAUUUAUAACACUUGGAUAAUGAGCUUUUCAAUAAAGUGUUUC
Oncorhynchus nerka (sockeye salmon) is the source of this 1425-nucleotide long non-coding RNA. RefSeq lists it as uncharacterized. The record is from RefSeq and is a predicted model, not a curated record. The transcript has 3 exons. Lineage: Eukaryota; Metazoa; Chordata; Actinopteri; Salmoniformes; Salmonidae.